This 1091-nucleotide small RNA is filed under the name Arabidopsis thaliana (thale cress). RNAcentral's name for it is "ATSL269550". Lineage: Eukaryota; Viridiplantae; Streptophyta; Magnoliopsida; Brassicales; Brassicaceae. The record is from RNAcentral.
UCUUAAAAACCUAAGUAUUGAAUCUUUGUUAGAAGAUACAAAGACAAAGACUCAUACGGACUUCGACUACACUAUCAAAGCUCUGAGAAGCAAGAAGAAGCUUGGUUAUUGUUUUGGAUUCGAAUAUGACUUGAUGUCAUGUGUAUGACUCAGUAUAAACACUAGAACCGCAACGGAUCUUAAAAGCAUAAGUAUUGUAUCAUUGUUAGAAGAUACAAUGACGAAGACUCAUACGGACUUCGACUACACCAUCAAAGCUUUGAGAAGCAAGAAGCAGUUGGUUAGUGUUUUGGAGUCGAAUAUGACUUGAUGUCAUGUGUAUGAGUGAGUAUAAAAACUAGAACCACAACGGAUCUUAAAAGCCUAAAUAUUGUAUCCUGGUUAGAAAAUACAUAGACAAUGUCUCAUACGAAAUUCGGCUAAACCAUCAAAGCUUUUAGAAGCAAGAAGAAGCUUGGUUAGUGUUUUGGAGUGAAAUCUAACUAGAUGUCAUGUGUAUGAGUGAGUAUACCAACUAGAACCACAAUUGGAAUUUUAAAAGCCUAAGUAUUAUAUCCUUGUUAGAAGAUACAAAGACAAACACUCAUACGGACUUUGGCUACACCAUCAAAGCUUUGAGAAGCAAGAAGAAGCUUGGUUAGUGUUUUGGAGUCGAAUAUGACUUGAUGUGAUGUGUAUGAUUGAGUAUAAGAAAUUAAACCGCAACCGGAUCUUAAAAGCCUAGGUAUUGUUUCCUUGUUAGAAGAAACAAAGGCAAAGCCUCAUACAAACUUUAGCUUUACCAUCAAAGCCUUGAGAAGAAAGAAGAAGCUUUGUUAGUGUUUUGGAGUCAAAUAUUACUAGAUGUCAUGUGUAUGAGUGAGUAUGACAACUAGAACCAUAACUGGAUCUUAAAAACCUAAGUAUUGAAUCUUUGUUAGAAGAUACAAAGACAAAGACUCAUACGGACUUCGACUACACUAUCAAAGCUUUGAGAAGCAAGAAGAAGCUUGGUUAGUGUUUGGGAUUCGAAUAUGACUUGAUGUCAUGUGUAUGACUCAGUAUAAACACUAGAACCGCAACGGAUCUUAAAAGCAUAAGUAUUGUAUCAU